UGGGGAAUAUUGGACAAUGGGGGCAACCCUGAUCCAGCCAUGCCGCGUGAGGGAAGAAGGCCUUAGGGUUGUAAAGCUCUUUCACUGGCGAAGAUGAUGACGGUAGCCAGAGAAGAAGCCCCGGCUAACUCCGUGCCAGCAGCCGCGGUAAUACGGAGGGGGCAAGCGUUGUUCGGAAUUACUGGGCGUAAAGGGCGCGUAGGCGGCGCGACCAGUCAGGUGUGAAAGCCCCGGGCUCAACCUGGGAACUGCACUUGAUACUGUCGUGCUCGAGACCGGGAGAGGUGAGCGGAAUUCCCAGUGUAGAGGUGAAAUUCGUAGAUAUUGGGAAGAACACCGGUGGCGAAGGCGGCUCACUGGACCGGAUCUGACGCUGAGGCGCGAAAGCGUGGGGAGCAAACAGGAUUAGAUACCCCCGUAGUCC
This 424-nucleotide ribosomal RNA is filed under the name uncultured prokaryote. Its description in RNAcentral is "bacterial SSU rRNA". It matches the Rfam family "Bacterial small subunit ribosomal RNA", at positions 355 to 796 of the family's 1533-position model. The record is from RNAcentral.